GAGAGAGAGAGAGAGAGAGAGAGAGAGAGAGAGAGAGAAGUGGCCAGAGCAGGAAGCCAAGAGCUCACCUCUGAACAACACCAAGGAAGCAGAGAGAGUGAACUGGAAGAGGGUGGAGCUAUAAACCUUCCAAACCCACCUCCAGCCACCUAUUUCCUCAGGAAAGCGGCACCUAUGAGGUUCUGUGACCUCUUCAAACAGUACCGCCAACUGGGGACCGAGUAUUCAAAUACCUGAGUCUGGAAGAUGACAACAUUUUCAUUUCAGACCAUAACCAUUCUAAUAGCUCUUUGCUCUCCCGCAGGCAUGUGAAGCAGAGGUGCACUCUACAUCGAUGUUAACUAAGUUUUGUUGAAACAUGGCUGUCUUUCUUCUCAAAGAGCUUCCAUCUCCAUGGUAGCCUGAGCCCAAUGCUCUCAACACAGUGAUGUUCUGCCUCCUUACAGGCCAGAAUCCGUGGACCUGAGGGCUAUAACUUUCCCCUUGGAAACUGUGAGCCCAAAUAAACAGUUCCUCCCUUG
Non-coding RNA from Myodes glareolus (Bank vole), 521 nucleotides. Lineage: Eukaryota; Metazoa; Chordata; Mammalia; Rodentia; Cricetidae. The record is from RefSeq and is a predicted model, not a curated record.